UACAGAGGGUGCGAGCGUUAAUCGGCAUUACUGGGCGUAAAGCGCACGUAGGUGGCGACGUAAGUCGGGUGUGAGAGCCCCGGGCUCAACCUGGGAAUUGCAUUCGAGACUGCAUUGCUGGAGUACGGAAGAGGAGGGCGGAAUUCCCGGUGUAGCGGUGAAAUGCGUAGAUAUCGGGAGGAACAUCAGUGGCGAAGGCGGCCCUCUGGUCCAGUACUGACACUCAAGUGCGAAAGCGUGGGGAGCAAAUAGG
Molecule: ribosomal RNA, 253 nt
Filed under: uncultured bacterium
Lineage: Bacteria
Description: partial 16S ribosomal RNA
Rfam family: Bacterial small subunit ribosomal RNA
Source: RNAcentral